CGCGUAGGCGGUUUGGACAGUUGGGCGUGAAAUUCCUGGGCUUAACCCGGGGGCUGCGCUCGAUACAUCCAGACUGGAGUGAGGAAGAGGGUCGUGGAAUUCCCAGUGUAGAGGUGAAAUUCGUAGAUAUUGGGAAGAACACCGGUGGCGAAGGCGGCGACCUGGUCCUUUACUGACGCUGAGGCGCGAAAGCGUGGGGAGCAAACAGGAUUAGAUACCCUGGUAGUCCACGCUGUAAACGAUGUGCGCUGGAUGUUGGGCGACCUAGUCGCUCAGUGUCGUAGCUAACGCGGUAAGCGCACCGCCUGGGGAGUACGGCCGCAAGGUUGAA
Molecule: ribosomal RNA, 331 nt
Filed under: uncultured bacterium
Lineage: Bacteria
Description: bacterial SSU rRNA
Rfam family: Bacterial small subunit ribosomal RNA
Source: RNAcentral